This 442-nucleotide ribosomal RNA is filed under the name uncultured bacterium. Its description in RNAcentral is "partial 16S ribosomal RNA". It matches the Rfam family "Bacterial small subunit ribosomal RNA", at positions 338 to 795 of the family's 1533-position model. The record is from RNAcentral.
CCUACGGGUGGCAGCAGUGGGGAAUAUUGGGCAAUGGGCGCAAGCCUGACCCAGCAACGCCGCGUGCAGGAAGAAGGCUUUCGGGUUGUAAAAUUCUUUUGUCAGGGAAGAGUAGAAGACGGUACCUGACGCAUAAGCUACGGCUAACUACGUGCCAGCAGCCGCGGUAAUACGUAGGUGGCAAGCGUUGUCCGGCUUUACUGGGUGUAAAGGGCGUGUAGCCGGGUUGACAAGUCAGAUGUGAAAUCCAGCGGCUUAACCGUAGAACUGCAUUUGAAACUGUUGAUCUUGAGUACAGGAGAGGCAGAUGGAAUUCCUAGUGUAGCGGUGAAAUGCGUAGAUAUUAGGAGGAACACCAGUGGCGAAGGCGGGCUGCUGGACAGCAACUGACGGUGAGGCGCGAAAGCGUGGGGAGCAAACAGGAUUAGAUACCCUAGUAGUC